AGGAUAGGUGGGAGACUGUGAAGCGGKSACGCYAGUKWYYGUGGAGUCRUUGUUGAAAUACCACUCUGGUCACUCUGGAUAUCUAACUUCGAACCCUGAUCSGGUUCAGGGACAGUGCCUGRUGGGUAGUUUAACUGGGGCGGUUGCCUCCCAAAAUGUAACGGAGGCGCCCAAAGGUUCCCUCAACCUGGUUGGCAAUCAGGUGGCGAGUGUAAGUGCACAAGGGAGCUUGACUGUGAGACUGACARGUCGAGCAGGGACGAAAGUCGGGACUAGUGAUCCGGCRSUGGCWUGUGGAAGCGCYGUCGCUCAACGGAUAAAAGGUACCUCGGGGAUAACAGGCUGAUCUUGCCCAAGAGUCCAUAUCGACGGCAUGGUUUGGCACCUCGAUGUCGGCUCGUCGCAUCCUGGGGCUGGAGUAGGUCCCAAGGGUUGGGCUGUUCGCCCAUUAAAGCGGUACGCGAGCUGGGUUUAGAACGUCGUGAGACAGUUCGGUCCCUAUCCGCUGCGCGCGCAGGAAAUUUGAGAAGGGCUGUCCUUAGUACGAGAGGACCGGGUYGGACGAACCUCUGGUGUGU
RNAcentral lists this non-coding RNA (578 nucleotides) under Sphingomonas sp. Leaf339. RNAcentral's name for it is "Bacterial large subunit ribosomal RNA". It matches the Rfam family "Bacterial large subunit ribosomal RNA", at positions 2140 to 2717 of the family's 2925-position model. Lineage: Bacteria; Pseudomonadati; Pseudomonadota; Alphaproteobacteria; Sphingomonadales; Sphingomonadaceae. The record is from Rfam by way of RNAcentral.